GUCUGGUGCCAGCAGCCGCGGUAAUUCCAGCUCCAAUAGCGUAUAUUAAAGUUGUUGCAGUUAAAAAGCUCGUAGUUGAAUUUCGGGAUCAAUAUUUCGGUCAUGCCGUUGGUAUGCACUGUUAUCAUUGAUUUCUCACCUUCUAAAGAACCGUAAUGCCAUUAAUUUGGUGUUACGGGGAAUUAGGACUGUUACCUUGAAAAAAUUAGAGUGUUUAAAGCAGGCUCACGCUUGAAUACAUUAGCAUGGAAUAAUGAAAUAGGACAUCCGAUUCUAUUUUGUUGGUUUCUAGGAUCGAUGUAAUGAUUAAUAGGGAUAGUUGGGGGCAUUAGUAUUCAAUUGUCAGAGGUGAAAUUCUUGGAUUUAUUGAAGACUAACUACUGCGAAAGCAUUUGCCAAGGAUGUUUUCAUUAAUCAAGAACGAAAGUUAGGGGAUCGAAGACGAUCAGAUACCGUCGUAGUCUUAACCAUAAACUAUGCCGACUAGGGAUCGGAUGAUGUUAAUUUUUUAAUGACUCAUUCGGCGCCUUACGGGAAA
Molecule: ribosomal RNA, 538 nt
Filed under: uncultured Glomus
Lineage: Eukaryota; Fungi; Glomeromycota; Glomeromycetes; Glomerales; Glomeraceae
Description: SSU rRNA
Rfam family: Eukaryotic small subunit ribosomal RNA
Source: RNAcentral